GCCGGAGUGGUGGAAUUGGCAGACACAAGGGACUUAAAAUCCCUCGGGGGCAACCUCGUACCGGUUCAAAUCCGGUCUUCGGUACCA
This 87-nucleotide transfer RNA is filed under the name Nitrospirota bacterium. RNAcentral describes it as "Nitrospirae bacterium (groundwater metagenome) tRNA-Leu". It matches the Rfam family "tRNA". Rfam says of the family: Transfer RNA (tRNA) molecules are approximately 80 nucleotides in length. Their secondary structure includes four short double-helical elements and three loops (D, anti-codon, and T loops). Lineage: Bacteria; Pseudomonadati; Nitrospirota. The record is from RNAcentral.